RNAcentral lists this ribosomal RNA (950 nucleotides) under Kondoa malvinella. Its description in RNAcentral is "LSU rRNA". It matches the Rfam family "Eukaryotic large subunit ribosomal RNA", at positions 38 to 968 of the family's 3401-position model. Lineage: Eukaryota; Fungi; Basidiomycota; Agaricostilbomycetes; Agaricostilbales; Kondoaceae. The record is from RNAcentral.
GCAUAUCAAUAAGCGGAGGAAAAGAAACUAACAAGGAUUCCCCUAGUAACGGCGAGUGAAGUGGGAAAAGCUCAACUUUGUAAUCUGGCUGUCUUUGGCAGUCCGAGUUGUAGUCUAGAGAAGUGUUAUCCGCGCAGACCCUUAUAGAUUUCGGUUGGAAUGCCAAGUCAAAGAGGGUGAGAAUCCCGUAUUUGAUAAGGUGGUCUUGUGCAUUGUGAUACGCUUUCAAAGAGUCGAGUUGUUUGGGAAUGCAGCUCAAAGUGGGUGGUAAAUUCCAUCUAAAGCUAAAUAUUGGCGAGAGACCGAUAGCGAACAAGUACCGUGAGGGAAAGAUGAAAAGCACUUUGGAAAGAGAAUGAAAUAGUACCUGAAAUUGCUGAAAGGGAAACGAGUGAAGUUAGACUUGCGCAGUUGGUAUUCAGCCUUGGCUUCGGUCUUGGUGCAUUUGCCUUCUAUUGCAGGCCAACAUCAGUUUACUUUGCGGUAAAAGGGUUUAGGGAAUGUGGCUUUUUCGGGAGUGUUAUAGCCCUUUACUGGAUGCCGAAUAGUAGACUGAGGAACGCAGCGCGCCUUUCGGGGCAAAGCUUUCAAGCUUCGAGCGCUUAGGAUGUUGGUAGAAUAGCUUUACACGACCCGUCUUGAAACACGGACCAAGGAGUCUAACAUGCUUGCGAGUGUUUGGGUGUCAAACCCGAGCGCGGAAUGAAAGUGAAUGCAGGUGGGAUCCGUAACAGGUGCACCAUCGACCGAUCUGGAUAUUUAUUGAUGGAUUUGAGUAAGAGCAUGUAUGUUGGGACCCGAAAGAUGGUGAACUAUGCCUGAAUAGGGUGAAGCCAGAGGAAACUCUGGUGGAGGCUCGUAGCGGUUCUGACGUGCAAAUCGAUCGUCAAAUUUGGGUAUAGGGGCGAAAGACUAAUCGAACCAUCUAGUAGCUGGUUCCUGCCGAAGUU